CGCCUCCUCAACCUCUUUCUCUCUCUGUGUGACACUGCUGUAAUUUGAAAGAUACCUCUUUGGAAGACAGUAUACCAGAGUCCUCACCAGCUCCUUUUCACUCCGUUUCACAAUGCUGGACAUCUUCCUGCUGAUGUUUUUCGCCAUUGUGAGUUUAGUGAUUCUCUCCUAUAUCAUCUAUGUGCUGUAAGGAGAUGGAGACAGCAGCAGCAAUGACCAGGAGCUGUCAGAAAGCUGCAAGGCGGAGCUUGCUGGAACCGUGAGAGAUGGCUGGGCAUUGCGUUUUCCCUCAGUUGGCCCUCAGCACAGAUGUUGGAAUGUUAAAACCAUUUCUCUUGGAUUCAUCUCCUCAGUGGGACGGCAUAGGAUCUUCCUGAGCGAAGGUAACUGCUGAGCAACAUCGAGUACAGUCGCGAAGAUUGAUAGGUAUCCAGAGUUUUCCUGAAACAAACACCACCCAUCCCAGUUUUGCUUCCAGAACAUUCCAAGAUGUUGGCAGAUGAACACUCCUGGCCAUUGUGUUGGACCAUGCCUUUGGAUGGGACAUUGAAACUGUUGGAAUAUGGAACUGCCUGUGUCUUUCUCAGGCCAGGCUGCUGUGAAUUCUGUCAGUAGGUUAGGAAGUGAUGACUGUUCAGUUCAAGCACAACCUGAAUAGCAUUCUCCAAAGUCAGAUCUUCUUCAUUCAACUCUGCGUCUUAUGAAUUCUGAUUUCAAAGCUCCAUAGUUACAUUUUUUUUCACUAAUCAGAGAUCAUUAAUGCAAUUAUCCAUGGAUUCUACUGAAACCUGAACUCUUCUGUUAAGUAUUCUUGUUUCAAGAAUGUUAUGUUUUCAUGUUAAAAUAGUUGCUGAAAGUUUGUAGAACUUCAUCAAAAGAAACUGGGACUUGUUUUGAGGAGCUAUAACAUCAUCAGCUGUAGGUUCUGUUGAAUACAAUAGUGAAUUUCUUUGUUCAGCUUGUGAUUUAGUUUGUAUCUUGAAAGUAAAUUCUGUACAUCAUAACUGUUUUCAUAAAAAUAUCCAAUUUUGCUGUCAUGCAGGAAAUGAUGCAACCAAUUUAUACACAGCAAGGUCCCACCAAGAGCAACGAGAUAUUGUUAUUAAUAAAUGAAGCAAGUAAUAAAAUGGAUGGACAAGUUGGUCACUGAGGAAAUGAGCUUGCACCACACCUUAUUUUUUGUUUUAAACAAGCAUAAUUUUAUUUUAUAAAGAUUUUGCAAAUACUGAUUGAACCCUUUCUAAAGUACCACUUCGCUAUAUCCUGUGUUGUCUUAACCGUUCUGUUGGGGAAGGGCAUUAAGAGAUAUGGAGCUAAGCUGGAUAAAUUAUAACGAAGGUACAGCUCAGAAACACACCGGAAUCAUGCCAGGUUUCCCCCAUCCCUCUUUGUUUGAUCCUAUUCACGUAUCUUCCAAUCCUUUCUCACUCAUGUAUUUAUUCAGCUUCUCCAAAAAUGCAUCAAUGUUAAUUGACUCAACUGAGGCAUGUAGCUAUGAGUCCCAAGUCUUGGUCACCCUCUGGGUAAAGAGGUUCCUGAUGAACUCCUUACUGGAAUUAUCCAUGUCUAUUUUAUUGUGGCCAUUGGGUUUAGUCUGCCUCGUAUGUACUCUUCCCAUGCUUUUCAAUAGUUUUGAGAGGCAGCUCAACCAUGAGCUAACUGUUUAAAGGGAACAGUUGUGGAGAGUGGAUACCACUGGUCUAAUUCUCUUCCAGUAAUCACAUGAAGCUGGUACUAAUGGCAGCUGGCUCUUUGACCACAGUGAUGCUCCAACCUGUUUUAUUUUGCUUGUUGUGGUAGACCUUGCACAAGGGUUGCUAACUAGUAAUUAGCACUAAGUAGCAGAGUGGGUUUUUAUUUGCUUAAUAAAUAGCUGAGCUACUGUGCACAUGGAUGGGAUACCACAUGUACUUCAUUGGCAUUGGUCGUGCCCACAGUCAUUUUUCUCAGGACAUCCCAUGGCAUUGCACAGCUGAUGGAUUACUUCUAAAGUGUGGUUGUUGACGUCUGAAUGUAAACAUCAAAUGGCAACAUCACCUUGCAUUUAUAUAGCACCUUUAAUGUAUUAAAACAUCCCAAGUUGUAACACACAAACAUUUACAUUGAAUCAUAUAAAGAGUUACUAGGGCACCUGGUCAAAAUUAAGGUCGAUGAAUUGGAUUUUAAGUAACAUCUUAAAGGAGGGGUUGGAGAUAGUAAUUCAAUAUCAAUUGUUUAUCUGUAUAGAGGUAGACUAUAACACUCAAUCUCCUUUAAACAGAGGGACUGAUACGGUGGCUUUUAUGUUUGGAAGUGAAUGCUUAUAAUGUGUAACUCUGUCAAUAAAAGUUUAUAAAUGUGUGCAAAGAUUGCCUCCCAUUCUAUCCUUUAUUUAACAUUCGGAACAUUAUCAGUGAGGAACAUGCAGGUUUAGAGAGGGAAUUCCAGAUGAGCCUGGGCAAACUGAAGACAGGCCACCAGUG
Molecule: long non-coding RNA, 2462 nt
Organism: Chiloscyllium plagiosum (whitespotted bambooshark)
Lineage: Eukaryota; Metazoa; Chordata; Chondrichthyes; Orectolobiformes; Hemiscylliidae
Source: RefSeq, a predicted model, not a curated record